RNAcentral lists this ribosomal RNA (497 nucleotides) under uncultured bacterium. Its description in RNAcentral is "partial 16S ribosomal RNA". It matches the Rfam family "Bacterial small subunit ribosomal RNA", at positions 28 to 507 of the family's 1533-position model. The record is from RNAcentral.
GAUGAACGCUGGCGGCGUGCCUAAUACAUGCAAGUCGAGCGAACGGACGAGAAGCUUGCUACUCUGAUGUUAGCGGCGGACGGGUGAGUAACACGUGGAUAACCUACCUAUAAGACUGGGAUAACUUCGGGAAACCGGAGCUAAUACCGGAUGAUAUUUUGAACCGCAUGGUUCAAAAGUGAAAGACGGUCUUGCUGUCACUUAUAGAUGGAUCCGCGCUGCAUUAGCUAGUUGGUAAGGUAACGGCUUACCAAGGCAACGAUGCAUAGCCGACCUGAGAGGGUGAUCGGCCACACUGGAACUGAGACACGGUCCAGACUCCUACGGGAGGCAGCAGUAGGGAAUCUUCCGCAAUGGGCGAAAGCCUGACGGAGCAACGCCGCGUGAGUGAUGAAGGUCUUCGGAUCGUAAAACUCUGUUAUUAGGGAAGAACAUAUGUGUAAGUAACUGUGCACAUCUUGACGGUACCUAAUCAGAAAGCCACGGCUAACUACGUG